AGAGUUUGAUUCUGGCUCAGGACAAACGCUGGCGGCAUGCCUAACACUUGCAAGUCGAACGGACGGAGGCGAGGAAUUCUUCGGAAGGAAUCGCCCGAGUUAGUGGCGGAUGGGUGAGUAACGCGUGGGGAACCUACCUUUUAGUGGGGAAUAAUCGUUGGAAACGACGACUAAUACCGCAUACGGUGUAUGGUUCGCAUGAACCAGAUAAGAAAGGCGGCCUUUGAGCUGUCGCUAAGAGAUGGACCCGCGUCUGAUUAGCUAGUUGGUAAGGUAACGGCUUACCAAGGCAACGAUCAGUAGCCGGCCUGAGAGGGUGAACGGCCACAUUGGGACUGAGACACGGCCCAA
RNAcentral lists this ribosomal RNA (351 nucleotides) under uncultured bacterium. RNAcentral describes it as "bacterial SSU rRNA". It matches the Rfam family "Bacterial small subunit ribosomal RNA", at positions 8 to 334 of the family's 1533-position model. The record is from RNAcentral.